GUGUAGUAUCUUGACUAUCCAUGUCCAAAGGCUAAAAUGAUGAGAGCAAACUAUAGUUGCUAACAAAGUUCUACACUAUCGAACUAUGGGUUUUGGAGGUGCCCUCCCCCCUUUUUAUGCUACUUGAUGAGCAAGCUUCAGCAAGAAGCUAUCGUUGAAUCGGCUUAGGUUUAUGACGAUAUCGUUGAUGAAAUUCUUGUACCUUUUUUGGUGCAUUGGCAAGAUUU
This 227-nucleotide long non-coding RNA is filed under the name Physcomitrium patens. Its description in RNAcentral is "long non-coding RNA (PPAT_LNC007355)". The record is from RNAcentral. Lineage: Eukaryota; Viridiplantae; Streptophyta; Bryopsida; Funariales; Funariaceae.